GGGGUCAGGGCGAGGGACUCUGGGUCACCUCCCACCCGUGUUUAUUUUACCUUGUUGCUUCGGCGGGCCCGCCUUAACUGGCCGCCGGGGGGCUUACGCCCCCGGGCCCGCGCCCGCCGAAGACACCCUCGAACUCUGUCUGAAGAUUGUAGUCUGAGUGAAAAUAUAAAUUAUUUAAAACUUUCAACAACGGAUCUCUUGGUUCCGGCAUCGAUGAAGAACGCAGCGAAAUGCGAUACGUAAUGUGAAUUGCAAAUUCAGUGAAUCAUCGAGUCUUUGAACGCACAUUGCGCCCCCUGGUAUUCCGGGGGGCAUGCCUGUCCGAGCGUCAUUUCUGCCCUCAAGCACGGCUUGUGUGUUGGGCCCCGUCCUCCGAUCCCGGGGGACGGGCCCGAAAGGCAGCGGCGGCACCGCGUCCGGUCCUCGAGCGUAUGGGGCUUUGUCACCCGCUCUGUAGGCCCGGCCGGCGCUUGCCGAUCAACCCAAAUUUUUAUCCAGGUUGACCUCGGAUCAGGUAGGGAUACCCGCUGAACUUAAGCAUAUCAAUAAGUCGGAGGAA
RNAcentral lists this ribosomal RNA (559 nucleotides) under Penicillium chrysogenum. Its description in RNAcentral is "eukaryotic LSU rRNA". The stretch from base 179 to 331 matches the Rfam family "5.8S ribosomal RNA". Lineage: Eukaryota; Fungi; Ascomycota; Eurotiomycetes; Eurotiales; Aspergillaceae. RNAcentral also lists the same sequence under 1 other name. The record is from RNAcentral.